Molecule: ribosomal RNA, 837 nt
Filed under: uncultured bacterium
Lineage: Bacteria
Description: bacterial SSU rRNA
Rfam family: Bacterial small subunit ribosomal RNA
Source: RNAcentral
ACACAUGCAAGUCGAGGGGAAACGACAUCGAAAGCUUGCUUUUGGUGGGCGUCGACCGGCGCACGGGUGAGUAACGCGUAUCCAACCUGCCCACCACUUGGGGAUAACCUUGCGAAAGUAAGACUAAUACCCAAUGAUAUCUCUAGAAGACAUCUGAAAGAGAUUAAAGAUUUAUCGGUGAUGGAUGGGGAUGCGUCUGAUUAGCUUGUUGGCGGGGUAACGGCCCACCAAGGCAACGAUCAGUAGGGGUUCUGAGAGGAAGGUCCCCCACAUUGGAACUGAGACACGGUCCAAACUCCUACGGGAGGCAGCAGUGAGGAAUAUUGGUCAAUGGACGAGAGUCUGAACCAGCCAAGUAGCGUGCAGGAUGACGGCCCUAUGGGUUGUAAACUGCUUUUAUAAGGGAAUAAAGUGAGUCUCGUGAGACUUUUUGCAUGUACCUUAUGAAUAAGGACCGGCUAAUUCCGUGCCAGCAGCCGCGGUAAUACGGAAGGUCCGGGCGUUAUCCGGAUUUAUUGGGUUUAAAGGGAGCGUAGGCCGGAGAUUAAGCGUGUUGUGAAAUGUAGAUGCUCAACAUCUGCACUGCAGCGCGAACUGGUUUCCUUGAGUACGCACAAAGUGGGCGGAAUUCGUGGUGUAGCGGUGAAAUGCUUAGAUAUCACGAAGAACUCCGAUUGCGAAGGCAGCUCACUGGAGCGCAACUGACGCUGAAGCUCGAAAGUGCGGGUAUCGAACAGGAUUAGAUACCCUGGUAGUCCGCACGGUAAACGAUGGAUGCCCGCUGUUGGUCUGAAUAGGUCAGCGGCCAAGCGAAAGCAUUAAGCAUCCCACCUGGGG